This is an RNA transcript of Alnus glutinosa, 2079 nucleotides long. It is a transcript of the gene named tonoplast dicarboxylate transporter, with no coding region annotated. The transcript has 7 exons. Lineage: Eukaryota; Viridiplantae; Streptophyta; Magnoliopsida; Fagales; Betulaceae. The record is from RefSeq and is a predicted model, not a curated record.
AGUAAAUUGAACUCGUCCACUGCUUCUAUCCAACCCAUCUUCUUCCCCACUAUAUAUAUAUAUAUAUAAUCCAUCUCCGUGUAAAUCACCCACCAUUUUCUCUCCUUUCCCGUCCUUAAUUCAAAAUGAACGGCGAUGAUCAGAUGUCUUAUCCCAUCUCGGACGACCCCAAGACCCCACUUCUCCCCCUCCACGGCGAGAUCCAACGGGGACACAGCUUCCGUUCCUCUCUAACUUCCAUUUUCUCACCCAAAAACUUCUACAUCCUCCUCGGACCUCUGCUGUGCACCAUCAUAUGCCUCUGCGUCAAGCUUGAUGGCCCCUCGACUAGCCGGAACAUGUUGGCCAUCCUUGCUUGGGUCUUUGCCUGGUGGCUGACGGAGGCCGUGCCCAUGCCGGUGACCUCCAUGUCCCCGCUCUUUCUCUUUCCACUCUUUGGGAUUUCUUCUGCCGAUGUCGUUGCGCACUCUUACAUGGACGAUGUGAUUGUGCUUGUUCUAGGAAGCUUCAUACUUGCUCUUGCUGUUGAACAUUAUAACAUUCACAGAAGAUUGGCCUUUAAUAUAACAGUUUUAUUUUGUGGAGAUCCACUGAAUCCACCACUCCUCCUCCUUGGAAUAUGCGCCACCACGGCAUUUGUCGGCAUGUGGAUGCACAACGUGGCAGCGACGGUGAUGAUGAUGCCCGUGGCGACUGGGAUCAUACAGCGCCUCCCCACGGGCCCCACCGAAUCCAACGUUGAAAACAAGUUCUGCAGGGCAGUGGUCCUUGGGGUGACAUACUCUGCUGCCAUAGGGGGAAUGGGCACGCUCACUGGGACAGGUGUCAAUGUGAUAUUGGUGGCGAUGUGGAAGGGCUAUUUCCCUCAAGAAGAGCCUAUCAGCUUCAGCACAUGGUUCUUCUUUGGUUUCCCUUUGUCUCUGUUGGUUUUCUUUGCUUUGUGGGGUAUACUUUGUUUGUUGUAUUGCUCAAGGGGUUCAGGGCAGCGCCUCAGUGUUUAUUUGGACAAAGCCCAUUUGAAGAGGGAGCUCGAACUCUUGGGUCCAAUGGCUUUUGCUGAGAAGAUGGUGUUGGCUGUAUUUUCGAUGCUCAUAGUUUUGUGGAUGACAAGAAGCUUAACAGACGACAUUCCUGGUUGGGGAGCUCUUUUCAAUGGCCGCGUUGGUGAUGGUACAGUUAGUGUGACGAUGGCAACUUUAUUGUUCAUAAUUCCAAACAAGAAGAAAAAGGGGGAGAAGCUGUUGGACUGGAACAAAUGCAAGAAGCUACCAUGGAACCUUAUUUUGCUUCUAGGAGCUGGCUUUGCCUUGGCCGAUGGAAUCCAGUCUAGUGGGCUGGCGGACAUGCUAUCAAAGUCCUUGGAUUUCUUGGAGAGGGUUCCAUACUUUGCUCUUGCCCCUGCUAUCUGUCUUAUAAGCAGUAUUCUGACAGAGUUCAUCACAUCUAACGAUGCUACUACCACACUAGUGGUUCCUCUUCUCAUCCAAAUAGCGAAAAGCAUGCAUCUACACCCACUCCUCCUUAUGAUUCCUGGAGCCAUUGGAGCACAAUUUGCUUUCUUGUUUCCAACGGCAACUCCAUCGAAUGUUGUCGGGUUUACGACUGGAUACAUUGAAAUACAAGAUAUGAUCAAGACUGGAUUGCCACUGAAGAUUGCAGGAAUUGCUGCACUGUCCCUUUUGAUGCCUACACUAGGAACUUAUGUUUUUGGGACAAAUAAGAAUGUUUAUUAGCAGGAAGAUUCCCAAAUGUAACCUGCUUGCACAUAUCAUCGGGGCAAAGCACAAAUUAUCACGGAUUCCGUUGGUGAUUGUAUCGACCGAACAUGCAGUUAUGGGUUGCUGUGUUUGAUUAGCUUCUGUCCGGAUUUUCGUUGAUGGAAGCUGGGUCUGAUCUUGGUGAUUUCAAUGGAGGACCGAAUGGUGUUUUCUGAGAAUUUGUUGAGUUCUCUUUUGGUUUUGAUUUUGGUGACUGAAAAUGGGGUUGGAUUGAUGAUUCUGGGUGUUUUCCUUUGUUUUGGUUUUUCGAUGAUUUGGGGCUUGGAAUUCACAGAUUGAUUUGGGGAGUUGGUUCUUGUGA